RNAcentral lists this ribosomal RNA (529 nucleotides) under uncultured bacterium. RNAcentral's name for it is "bacterial SSU rRNA". It matches the Rfam family "Bacterial small subunit ribosomal RNA", at positions 151 to 675 of the family's 1533-position model. The record is from RNAcentral.
AAGAAAUUUACGCUAAUACCGCAAACGAUCUAAAGAUGAUAGCGGGGGAUCGCGAGAUCUCGAGCGAUUGGGGCGGCUGAUAUCAGAUUAUGUUGUUGGUGAUGUAGGAGCUCACCGGGCCGACCAUCUGUAGCAGGUUUGAGAGAACUACCAGCCACACUGGCACUGAUACACGGCCCACACUCCUACGAGACGCAGCAGUGGGGAAUUUUGGACAGUGGGCAAAAGCCUGAUCCCCCUGCGCCGCGUGCGGCAAGAGGGUCUUCAGGUUGUAAACUGUUUUUGUCCGGAACGAAAAAGUCUGCCCUAAUACAGUGGCCUCAUGACGGGACCAUAAGAAUAAAAACCCGCUCACUACCUGCCAGCAACCCCGGAAAUACGUAGGGUGCGAGCGAUUAUCUGAAUUACUGGGCUGCAAGCGUGCGCAAGUGGGCAUAUGAUAAAAUACUGAAAUCCCCCGAUUCCACCUGUGAACUGCAUCUGGGACUGUAUAACUGUAGAACUGUAGAGAGUGAUGGAAUUCCGCAUG